UCAACAAAUUUUUAGACUCCCUCUGCCGCUUAGACCAAAAAUUAGAACACCCUCACUCCUCCCAAAUAAACCUUAGUCUUGCAAUUUCCUCUCUCUCUCUCUCUCUCCCUCUUAUCGAUAUGGGGGAGAUCGCCAGUCGCCGUAGCUUGCGACUCCCUCGUCUCACCAAGGAUCUCGAUUGGAAGCCGUUGGUCUCCAAUAAAGCUUCCGAGGUGUUCUUCAACCUCAAUCUACAAACAAAAUUCACCGAGUGAAUUGGAAAGAGAUUUUUCCGAAGCUAUCAAUUUUGUGGAUGAAGGAAAAGGGAAGGCUGGUGGAUUGGAGAAUUGGGGACGUGAACUGUUGAUGCAGACUCAAGACUUCAUGACACAUUCGUAGAAAUCGUGCAUCCAAUAGUCCUUUUUACAAAAGAAAGACUGUAUGACACAUUCAUAGAAAUUGUGCAUCCAAUAGUGCUUUUCACAUCUCAAGCAAACUUUUUCCGUCACAUUCAAA
Long non-coding RNA from Nicotiana tabacum (common tobacco), 495 nucleotides. RefSeq lists it as uncharacterized. The record is from RefSeq and is a predicted model, not a curated record. Lineage: Eukaryota; Viridiplantae; Streptophyta; Magnoliopsida; Solanales; Solanaceae.